GAUGAACGCUGGCGGCGUGCCUAAUACAUGCAAGUCGAGCGAACGGACGAGAAGCUUGCUUCUCUGAUGUUAGCGGCGGACGGGUGAGUAACACGUGGAUAACCUACCUAUAAGACUGGGAUAACUUCGGGAAACCGGAGCUAAUACCGGAUAAUAUUUUGAACCGCAUGGUUCAAAAGUGAAAGACGGUCUUGCUGUCACUUAUAGAUGGAUCCGCGCUGCAUUAGCUAGUUGGUAAGGUAACUGCUUACCAAGGCAACGAUGCAUAGCCGACCUGAGAGGGUGAUCGGCCACACUGGAACUGAGACACGGUCCAGACUCCUACGGGAGGCAGCAGUAGGGAAUCUUCCGCAAUGGGCGAAAGCCUGACGGAGCAACGCCGCGUGAGUGAUGAAGGUCUUCGGAUCGUAAAACUCUGUUAUUAGGGAAGAACAUAUGUGUAAGUAACUGUGCACAUCUUGACGGUACCUAAUCAGAAAGCCACGGCGAACUACG
RNAcentral lists this ribosomal RNA (495 nucleotides) under uncultured bacterium. RNAcentral's name for it is "partial 16S ribosomal RNA". It matches the Rfam family "Bacterial small subunit ribosomal RNA", at positions 28 to 505 of the family's 1533-position model. The record is from RNAcentral.